This is a small nuclear RNA of Trichoderma atroviride IMI 206040, 205 nucleotides long. It matches the Rfam family "U2 spliceosomal RNA". Rfam says of the family: U2 is a small nuclear RNA (snRNA) component of the spliceosome (involved in pre-mRNA splicing). Lineage: Eukaryota; Fungi; Ascomycota; Sordariomycetes; Hypocreales; Hypocreaceae. The record is from Rfam.
UCAGCUCUCUUUGCCAAAUGGCUUAGAUCAAGUGUAGUAUCUGUUCUUUUCAGUUUAAUCUCUGAAACGUCCUCUACUGGAGGCGAAUUUCGUGGUUAUUCUUAUUUUUGGUUCUCUGGGCGGAAGCGUUCCUCUGCGCUUGCGCAUGGUGCUUCUGCUCACUGUGUCCCUGGUAUUACACUGCUUCCGGGUGACGCGACCUUUU